GGUAACCUGCCCAUGUGCCCGGGAUAACUUCUGGAAACGGAUGCUAAAACCGGAUAGGUAGCAGACAAGCAUUUGACUGCUAUUAAAGUGGCUAAGGCCAUGAACAUGGAUGGACCUGCGGUGCAUUAGCUAGUUGGUGAGGUAACGGCCCACCAAGGCGACGAUGCAUAGCCGGCCUGAGAGGGCGGACGGCCACAUUGGGACUGAGACACGGCCCAAACUCCUACGGGAGGCAGCAUG
Molecule: ribosomal RNA, 240 nt
Filed under: uncultured bacterium
Lineage: Bacteria
Description: partial 16S ribosomal RNA
Rfam family: Bacterial small subunit ribosomal RNA
Source: RNAcentral